UACGUAGGGAGCAAGCGUUGUUCGGAUUUACUGGGCGUAAAGGGUGCGUAGGCGGCAUGAUAAGUCAGCUGUGAAAUCUCCGAGCUUAACUCGGAACGGUCAGCUGAUACUGUUGUGCUAGAGUGCAGAAAGGGCAAUCGGAAUUCUUGGUGUAGCGGUGAAAUGCGUAGAUAUCAAGAGGAACACCUGAGGCGAAGGCGGGUUGCUAGGCUGACACUGACGCUGAGGCACGAAAGCUAGGGGAGCAAACAGG
This 253-nucleotide ribosomal RNA is filed under the name uncultured bacterium. RNAcentral describes it as "partial 16S ribosomal RNA". It matches the Rfam family "Bacterial small subunit ribosomal RNA", at positions 524 to 776 of the family's 1533-position model. The record is from RNAcentral.